AGCUGUAUGAAUUAAUAUACAGUUAUUUCUGCUCAAUGAUUCUAAAUAGCCGCAGUACUCUGACUGUGCAAAGGUAGCAUAAUCAGUUGGCUUUUAAUUAAAGUCUGGUAUGAACGAAAAUAUGGGUAGUAACUGUCUUAACAUAUUUACUUGAAAUUAUUAAACAAGUGCAAAUGCUUGUAUCAAAACAAUAGACGAGAAGACCCUAGAAACUUGCGUUCAGUUUUUGUUGGGGCGACAGGAUUACAUUUAACUAAUUUUAUAAUACAUGACAUAAGGUUGUAAGAAUAAGUUACUCUAGGGAUAACAGCAUAAUUUUAUUAGUUUGUGACCUCGAUGUUGGACUAGGUACUAUAUUCUUAAGGCAAGGAUAUAUCACGCUCUGUUCGAGCAAAAUUACCUACAU
Molecule: ribosomal RNA, 406 nt
Filed under: Helix vladika
Lineage: Eukaryota; Metazoa; Mollusca; Gastropoda; Stylommatophora; Helicidae
Description: partial large subunit ribosomal RNA
Rfam family: Bacterial large subunit ribosomal RNA
Source: RNAcentral